This 253-nucleotide ribosomal RNA is filed under the name uncultured bacterium. RNAcentral describes it as "partial 16S ribosomal RNA". It matches the Rfam family "Bacterial small subunit ribosomal RNA", at positions 524 to 776 of the family's 1533-position model. The record is from RNAcentral.
UACAGAGGGUGCGAGCGUUAAUCGGAAUUACUGGGCGUAAAGCGUGCGCAGGCGGUUCUGUAAGACAGGUGUGAAAUCCCCGGGCUUAACCUGGGAACUGCAUUUGUGACUGCAUAGCUAGAGUACGGUAGAGGGGGAUGGAAUUCCGCGUGUAGCAGUGAAAUGCGUAGAUAUGCGGAGGAACACCGAUGGCGAAGGCAAUCCCCUGGACCUGUACUGACGCUCAUGCACGAAAGCGUGGGGAGCAAACAGG